UUCUUAUCCAGAGUGGCUGAGGGACUGGCCCGGUGAAGCCACAGCAACCGAUACUUCGUGUAUGUCAGGUGCUAAAUCCAGCAAGGCGUGUAGCCUUGGAAGAUAAGAC
RNAcentral lists this non-coding RNA (109 nucleotides) under Deltaproteobacteria bacterium. RNAcentral describes it as "SAM-I sequence". It matches the Rfam family "SAM riboswitch aptamer (S box leader)". From Rfam's summary of the family: The SAM riboswitch is found upstream of a number of genes which code for proteins involved in methionine or cysteine biosynthesis in Gram-positive bacteria. The SAM riboswitch acts at the level of transcription termination control. The predicted structure consists of a complex stem-loop region followed by a single stem loop terminator region. The record is from RNAcentral. Lineage: Bacteria; Pseudomonadati; Myxococcota; Myxococcia.